ACUGCUCAGUAACACGUGGAUAACUUGCCCUUGGGUCCGGGAUAACCCCUGAGAAAUUGGGGACAAUACCGGAUAGGGCAUCGAUUGCUGGAAUGCACGAUGUCCAAAAGCUGAGGCGCCCAAGGAUAGGUCUGCGGCCGAUUAGGUUGUUGUUGAUGUAAUGGAUCAACAAGCCUGCAAUCGGUACGGGUUGUGAGAGCAAGAGCCCGGAGAUGGGUUCUGAGAAAAGAACCCAGGUCCUACGGGACGCAUCAGGCGCGAAAACUUUACAAUGUGCGAAAGCACGAUAAGGGAACUCUGAGUGCCUCCUAUGGAGGCUGUUCAGGUGUCUAAAAAGCACUUGAAGUAAGGGCUGGGUAAGACCGGUGCCAGCCGCCGCGGUAACACCGGCAGCCCAAGUGGUAGCCACGAUUAUUGGGUCUAAAGCGUCCGUAGCCGGCCAGGUAAGUUCUUUGGGAAAUUUAACCGCUCAACGGUUAAGCUUUCAGGGAAUACUGCUUGGCUUGGGACCGGGAGAGGUCAGAGGUACUUCAAGGGUAGGGGUGAAAUCCGUUAAUCCUUGAGGGACCACCAGUAGCGAAGGCGUCUGACCAGACCGGGUCCGACGGUGAGGGACGAAGGCUAGGGUCGCGAACCGGAUUAGAUACCCGGGUAGUCCUAGCUGUAAACGAUGCGGGCCAGGUGUUGGCAUUACUGCGAGUGAUGUCAGUGCCAAAGGGAAGCCGUUAAGCCCGCCAUCUGGGGAGUACGGUCGCAAGGCUGAAACUUAAAGAAAUUGGCGGGGGAGCACCACAACGGGUGGGAGCCUGCGGUUCAAUUGGAGUCAACGCCGGG
This 834-nucleotide ribosomal RNA is filed under the name uncultured archaeon. RNAcentral describes it as "bacterial SSU rRNA". It matches the Rfam family "Archaeal small subunit ribosomal RNA", at positions 85 to 922 of the family's 1478-position model. The record is from RNAcentral.